This is a long non-coding RNA of Drosophila pseudoobscura, 1962 nucleotides long. RefSeq lists it as uncharacterized. Lineage: Eukaryota; Metazoa; Arthropoda; Insecta; Diptera; Drosophilidae. The record is from RefSeq and is a predicted model, not a curated record. The transcript is spliced from 3 exons.
CGAAAUAAAUACCCAAAGAAAUAACUAGCAAGAAUAAAUAACACCACGCUUCGGACCAAUAAAUACUACGAUAAAUAAAUAAAUAAAUACCGAUAUAAAUAUUGCGCCAACUGGCGCCGUUAACGAGAUAUAUGCAAUUAAAUAUUUGAAUAAAUAAAUAAAUAAUAACAUACAUGUAUAUUCGGUCGACACCUAAGACACUCAAACUUCAAACACAUUCAACACAACACAAAACCUAACAACAAAAAUUCCUAACAGUUUUUCUUCUUUUUACAAGAUUCAUUAAGAGGGGGUCACGUGACUAGCCGGGACCAGUAACCGCUCCACUUUCUGCGCUCCACUUGACAGUCGGCCUACGGAUAUCCUACAAUAACGAACACCACCUUUGUGUGGCCUGUCAUCUACUCUAGUCAUCGCUCUAAGCGAUGGCCGAUAAACGAGAAGCCUCACGGUGCAUGAGCUCACUUUGCUUGUGAUUUGUUCCUGUCAUCCAUACCGAUCUGCCAUGACAACAGAUGCAUCGCGGGUUGUCUUUACGACUCCCGGGCCACCUACUCCUCACCACCUCUCGGCAGACAGACAACAGGUUCAAAAACACGAAAGCGGCCUUGUUUUAAAUAAACAGAUUUAUUCGAUAUCACAGUCCACCAGGCAAUGUGUCCGUCGCAAACUCCCUGUCCAUUUUUUUGUUGAACGGCAGUGACUUACGUUCACUUGCGACAUCGAAUAGCUACAAAAUGUUCAACUGUAAUUCCCGGGGAUCCAUCCCAAUCUGCCGGGACAGCUAAACUGCACUUCGAGAGCUGUCGUCUUCUCCACAAAAUUUAUUAUUGUUUUUCAUUCCCCCGUAUCUAAAUUUAUCAGCCCGAGUGACAUUUGUUGAAAUACCACCCGAACCUGCGUCAGUCCAGAUGCAUGCGAAUUCAAAAAUGAUUGGGCGCCAUUUGUUACACUUGCCUUGUUUCCCAGGCGGAAAUUCCGGCUAGCUGUCGACCCCAGGGCUGGGUAGUUCUCCUUGCCCGCCAAAUGUAGACAAAAAAAGGAGACAUACUACUUCUCGGGACAUCAAAACUAACAACAACCUAAAGACAAAGAAAAUCAUAAACAGACGGCUAUCAAUUGGGUGAAGCUUGGGUGUUAUCACUUCGCGCGCUCGCCCUACCUGUGACCAAACACAACGUACAUUUUGGCCACCCUCUGCUGGAACGGUAACGGCUGGCCUAAUCCAUGGCUUACGCCACGCGUCCUCCCUCUAUUUUAAUUUACUGCAUCAUGCUUCAAUAUAUAUCCAAGCUUUAAUAAUUAUAAAUUGACAAUUUCAUCUUUCUCAUUAAUAAAUAGAUAUGCUCAAAAUUAUCACUAACCAAAAAGAAACACCAAAACGUUCGACACAAAGGCAAACACGGAAAUAGCUGCUGAAAUUUCGUUCAACCAACAGGGAUACCCUCACCCAUACGUAAUGGAAUAUGUGUAGAUGAGUGGAUCUAGUUUUACGGGAGUUAAUUUAACUCGGGCCCCUACGGAGACUUAACCUACCAAGAGCUCUUUUUAAGGGUCCCCGGGAUUUAAACAAUAAACAAUAUUUUUGCCACAAAUCGCUCGACCAAAUACGGUGGACUGACGGGACCCCCGCGUCAUACACUAAGGGUUAAUCUUCUGGAACUGAACAGCUAAUCGCAGAUUUAGGUUCCUGAUAUGUGUUGGUGUUUUUACAUAUUUUUUUUUUCAAUGGCCAAGAUGUUACGUUAAACGGUUGAAGCUAAUACUAAAUACUAAAUAAAGGACAACACACGGAACAAAAUAACAUUUAAUGUGGAAAGGUGUUUGGAGUGCGGAUUAUGUUUUUUUUCCUUUAAGUUCAAACGACGUGAGCGAUCGCUGGCCGUGGCCGGUCAGCCCUAAAUUUAUAUAGGUCCGUGUAUACGUGUGCGCGUGUGUGUGUGUAAAUAGGGUUUCGGAGUU